UUAGUUGCUGGAAAUUCGAAUCCUGUGCUGAAAAAAUGGAUUUUAGGUUGCUGAAACUGAUGUUUUAUGUUGGAAACUGUUACCUAGGUGCAGGAAUUAAAUGCCGGAUAUUGGGAAUUGAUUGUAUAUGGUGAAAAUCUAAAUCUUAAGUGUUGAAAUAUUCAUUUAAGGUUGUUAUAGCUGAAAAUCAUGUGCUACACUUGACUGUGGGAAGGAGUAUUUGAGUUAUUGUUUGUUAUUUCCUUUCAAUUUGAACUCCAUAUUCACAUGUGUGGAUUUAUGUGUUACUCGUCAGGUUCGGAAGCAACAACGAGUACCGUUACUCCACGUAGGGAGUGAGCUCGUGUCGAUACUUUUUUGGCUGGACCUCGAGUGUUUCUUUUCAGGUGCGUGACAGCACGCGGGUCCACUGCAGAGUCUAGACAGGAGUUGUGUAUAUAGUGAUCUAGCUUUUUGACUCUUUUGAUUAUGUGCCUAUUUUUGGAACUUGUAUAUGUUGUAAAUACCCGUGGGCACGUCUUGUAUGACAGUUGUUUCCGUAUAUAUGCAAGUUAAGUUUU
Long non-coding RNA from Rhododendron vialii, 560 nucleotides. RefSeq lists it as uncharacterized. The record is from RefSeq and is a predicted model, not a curated record. Lineage: Eukaryota; Viridiplantae; Streptophyta; Magnoliopsida; Ericales; Ericaceae. The transcript has 2 exons.